UAGGUGAUGAUGAUUGGGUAUUACAUUAGC
Molecule: non-coding RNA, 30 nt
Filed under: Rattus norvegicus (Norway rat)
Lineage: Eukaryota; Metazoa; Chordata; Mammalia; Rodentia; Muridae
Source: RNAcentral